GCCAGACUCCUACGGGAGGCAGCAGUGAGGAAUAUUGGUCAAUGGGCGAGAGCCUGAACCAGCCAAGUCGCGUGAGGGAAGACGGUCCUAUGGAUUGUAAACCUCUUUUGCCGGGGAGCAAAAAGCGGUACGUGUACCGCAUCGAGAGUACCCGGAGAAAAAGCAUCGGCUAACUCCGUGCCAGCAGCCGCGGUAAUACGUAGGUGGCAAGCGUUAUCCGGAUUUACUGGGUGUAAAGGGCGUGUAGGCGGGACUGCAAGUCAGAUGUGAAAAUUGUGGGCUCAACCCAUAACCUGCAUUUGAAACUGUAGUUCUUGAGUGAUGGAGAGGCAGGCGGAAUUCCGUGUGUAGCGGUGAAAUGCGUAGAUAUACGGAGGAACACCAGUGGCGAAGGCGGCCUGCUGGACAUUAACUGACGCUGAGGCGCGAAAGCGUGGGGAGCAAACAGGAUUAGAUACCCGGGUAAC
This 467-nucleotide ribosomal RNA is filed under the name uncultured bacterium. RNAcentral's name for it is "bacterial SSU rRNA". It matches the Rfam family "Bacterial small subunit ribosomal RNA", at positions 330 to 794 of the family's 1533-position model. The record is from RNAcentral.